RNAcentral lists this non-coding RNA (244 nucleotides) under Salisediminibacterium selenitireducens. RNAcentral's name for it is "Bacillus selenitireducens T-box sequence". It matches the Rfam family "T-box leader". Rfam says of the family: Uncharged tRNA acts as the effector for transcription antitermination of genes in the T-box leader family. T-boxes are found upstream of many aminoacyl-tRNA synthetase genes and some amino acid biosynthetic genes usually in Gram-positive bacteria. The record is from RNAcentral. Lineage: Bacteria; Bacillati; Bacillota; Bacilli; Caryophanales; Bacillaceae.
AGUCAAACGAAGAAGGGGAGGAGUACAUCCCGAUCCCGUCAGAGAGGAGAACCGGUUCAAAAGAAUCGCUGCGAGGUUUUCCCGGAAGAAACGGAUGGAAGGUAGCCCUGGAGUUGUCAUUGUGAACCAUCAACAGUAGCAGUGACCGGUUGAGCACCGUUAUCGUGCCGAAAGUGUAUACGUUUCUGUAUAAGUGACGUAUAAACAAAGGUGGUACCGCGAGACAACAGUCUUCGUCCUUUAU